Molecule: small nuclear RNA, 160 nt
Organism: Erinaceus europaeus (western European hedgehog)
Lineage: Eukaryota; Metazoa; Chordata; Mammalia; Eulipotyphla; Erinaceidae
Gene: U1
Rfam family: U1 spliceosomal RNA
About the family: U1 is a small nuclear RNA (snRNA) component of the spliceosome (involved in pre-mRNA splicing). Its 5' end forms complementary base pairs with the 5' splice junction, thus defining the 5' donor site of an intron.
Source: Ensembl
UCAGAUACCUGGCAGGAGAGAUACCAUGAUCACGAAGGUGGUUUUACCAGGGUGAGGCUUAUCUAUUGCACUCCAGAUGUGCUGACCCCUGUGAUUUCCCCAAAUGUGGAAAACAACCUUAUAAUUUGUGCUGGUGGAGGACUGUGUUCACACUCUUAAA